Molecule: ribosomal RNA, 274 nt
Filed under: uncultured bacterium
Lineage: Bacteria
Description: partial 16S ribosomal RNA
Rfam family: Bacterial small subunit ribosomal RNA
Source: RNAcentral
AUACGGAGGGUGCAAGCGUUAUUCGGAAUCACCGGGCGUAAAGGACGCGUAGGCGGGUUGGCAAGUCAGAUGUGAAAUCCUACAGCUUAACUGUAGAACUGCAUUUGAAACUGCUAACCUAGAGUAUGGGAGGGGGAGAUGGAAUUAGUGGUGUAGGGGUAAAAUCCGUAGAUAUCACUAGGAAUACCGAAAGCGAAGGCGAUCUCCUGGAACAUAACUGACGCUAAGGCGUGAAAGCGUGGGGAGCAAACAGGAUUAGAAACCCUUGUAGUCC